UACGUAUGGUGCAAGCGUUAUCCGGAUUUACUGGGUGUAAAGGGAGCGCAGGCGGUGCGGCAAGUCUGAUGUGAAAGCCCGGGGCUCAACCCCGGUACUGCAUUGGAAACUGUCGUACUAGAGUGUCGGAGGGGUAAGUGGAAUUCCUAGUGUAGCGGUGAAAUGCGUAGAUAUUAGGAGGAACACCAGUGGCGAAAGCGGCUUACUGGACGAUAACUGACGCUGAGGCUCGAAAGCGUGGGGAGCAAACAGG
Molecule: ribosomal RNA, 253 nt
Filed under: Roseburia faecis M72/1
Lineage: Bacteria; Bacillati; Bacillota; Clostridia; Lachnospirales; Lachnospiraceae
Description: partial 16S ribosomal RNA
Rfam family: Bacterial small subunit ribosomal RNA
Source: RNAcentral